GUCAUGGUGGCCGAGUGGUUAAGGCGUUGGACUCGAAAUCCCAAUGGGGUCUCCCCGCACAGAUUCAAAUCCUGUCCAUGACG
This is a non-coding RNA of Lethenteron reissneri (Far Eastern brook lamprey), 83 nucleotides long. Lineage: Eukaryota; Metazoa; Chordata; Hyperoartia; Petromyzontiformes; Petromyzontidae. The record is from the annotation of a RefSeq genome assembly.